UGGUAUAAUUAUUCACCUUAAUUAGAGAAAGGACAUUCCAAACUGCCAGUCAUUUUGAAAAAUUAAUGAACUAUAAUUAUCUACCUGCAAGAUAAAAGGUGAAAAACAUAAGAAUUAAAAGAAAUCUUGUAUUAGGCCCCUGCAUAAAUUCAUUAGAGCUUACGAUUAUUGCAGUUCCUCCACCAAAUAAGUUGAAGAUUUGAUGUCAUGGGCCUGACAUGAAACAUAUUACUAUUAAAAAAAGUCAUUAGAUAUCAAUGAUUCUACAAACAGAUCAAAAUAUAGCAAAAACAAACAGAUCAAAACAUACGAAAUACAAAAUCUUAACAUAUGCCAAACAAAAAGACAUCUUUUUAUUUUUGUAAAACAUACAUUUGUAAGAAAUUAUGCUUGAAGAGCACAUGUAGAACAAAUGCAUCUCA
RNAcentral lists this long non-coding RNA (422 nucleotides) under Lactuca sativa (garden lettuce). RNAcentral's name for it is "long non-coding RNA (LSAT_LNC005030)". The record is from RNAcentral. Lineage: Eukaryota; Viridiplantae; Streptophyta; Magnoliopsida; Asterales; Asteraceae.